This 84-nucleotide transfer RNA is filed under the name Bacteroidota bacterium. Its description in RNAcentral is "Bacteroidetes bacterium (activated sludge metagenome) tRNA-Leu". It matches the Rfam family "tRNA". Rfam says of the family: Transfer RNA (tRNA) molecules are approximately 80 nucleotides in length. Their secondary structure includes four short double-helical elements and three loops (D, anti-codon, and T loops). Lineage: Bacteria; Pseudomonadati; Bacteroidota. RNAcentral also lists the same sequence under 1 other name. The record is from RNAcentral.
GCUUAAAUGGCGGAAUUGGUAGACGCGCUGCAUUCAGGGUGCAGUCCCGGUCUCGGGGUAAGGGUUCGAGUCCCUUUUUGAGCA